This 803-nucleotide ribosomal RNA is filed under the name Streptomyces sp. MBTD_CMFRI_St01. Its description in RNAcentral is "bacterial SSU rRNA". It matches the Rfam family "Bacterial small subunit ribosomal RNA", at positions 93 to 908 of the family's 1533-position model. The record is from RNAcentral. Lineage: Bacteria; Bacillati; Actinomycetota; Actinomycetes; Kitasatosporales; Streptomycetaceae.
UAGUGGCGAACGGGUGAGUAACACGUGGGCAAUCUGCCCUUCACUCUGGGACAAGCCCUGGAAACGGGGUCUAAUACCGGAUACGACCUGCCGAGGCAUCUCGGCGGGUGGAAAGCUCCGGCGGUGAAGGAUGAGCCCGCGGCCUAUCAGCUUGUUGGUGAGGUAACGGCUCACCAAGGCGACGACGGGUAGCCGGCCUGAGAGGGCGACCGGCCACACUGGGACUGAGACACGGCCCAGACUCCUACGGGAGGCAGCAGUGGGGAAUAUUGCACAAUGGGCGAAAGCCUGAUGCAGCGACGCCGCGUGAGGGAUGACGGCCUUCGGGUUGUAAACCUCUUUCAGCAGGGAAGAAGCGAAAGUGACGGUACCUGCAGAAGAAGCGCCGGCUAACUACGUGCCAGCAGCCGCGGUAAUACGUAGGGCGCAAGCGUUGUCCGGAAUUAUUGGGCGUAAAGAGCUCGUAGGCGGCUUGUCACGUCGGGUGUGAAAGCCCGGGGCUUAACCCCGGGUCUGCAUCCGAUACGGGCAGGCUAGAGUGUGGUAGGGGAGAUCGGAAUUCCUGGUGUAGCGGUGAAAUGCGCAGAUAUCAGGAGGAACACCGGUGGCGAAGGCGGAUCUCUGGGCCAUUACUGACGCUGAGGAGCGAAAGCGUGGGGAGCGAACAGGAUUAGAUACCCUGGUAGUCCACGCCGUAAACGUUGGGAACUAGGUGUUGGCGACAUUCCACGUCGUCGGUGCCGCAGCUAACGCAUUAAGUUCCCCGCCUGGGGAGUACGGCCGCAAGGCUAAAACUCAAAGGA